UCCAAGUUGGUAGUUCUAAGAUGC
RNAcentral lists this non-coding RNA (24 nucleotides) under Arabidopsis thaliana (thale cress). The record is from RNAcentral. Lineage: Eukaryota; Viridiplantae; Streptophyta; Magnoliopsida; Brassicales; Brassicaceae.